GAUGAACGCUGGCGGCGUGCCUAAUACAUGCAAGUCGAGCGAACGGACGAGAAGCUUGCUUCUCUGAUGUUAGCGGCGGACGGGUGAGUAACACGUGGAUACCUACCUAUAAGACUGGGAUAACUUCGGGAAACCGUAGCUAAUACCGGAUAAUAUUUUGAACCGCAUGGUUCAAAAGUGAAAGACGGUCUUGCUGUCACUUAUAGAUGGAUCCGCGCUGCAUUAGCUAGUUGGUAAGGUAACGGCUUACCAAGGCAACGAUGCAUAGCCGACCUGAGAGGGUGAUCGGCCACACUGGAACUGAGACAAGGUCCAGACUCCUACGGGAGGCAGCAGUAGGGAAUCUUCCGCAAUGGGCGAAAGCCUGACGGAGCAACGCCGCGUGAGUGAUGAAGGUCUUCGGAUCGUAAAACUCUGUUAUUAGGGAAGAACAUAUGUGUAAGUAACUGUGCACAUCUUGACGGUACCUAAUCAGAAAGCCACGGCUAACUACGUG
This 496-nucleotide ribosomal RNA is filed under the name uncultured bacterium. RNAcentral describes it as "partial 16S ribosomal RNA". It matches the Rfam family "Bacterial small subunit ribosomal RNA", at positions 28 to 507 of the family's 1533-position model. The record is from RNAcentral.